UCCGAGUUGACCCCGGCAGUCUCCCAUGAGUCCCCGGCAUAACCCGCUGGCAACAUAGGAUAAGGGUUGCGCUCGUUGCGGGACUUAACCCAACAUCUCACGACACGAGCUGACGACAACCAUGCACCACCUGUAAACCGACCGCAAGCGGGGCACCUGUCUCCAGGCGUUACCGGUUCAUGUCAAGCCUUGGUAAGGUUCUUCGCGUUGCAUCGAAUUAAUCCGCAUGCUCCGCCGCUUGUGCGGGCCCCCGUCAAUUCCUUUGAGUUUUAGCCUUGCGGCCGUACUCCCCAGGCGGGAUACUUAACGCGUUAGCUCCGACACCGAAGGGGUCGAUCCCCCCGGCACCGAGUGCCCAUCGUUUACCGCGUGGACUAC
This 378-nucleotide unclassified non-coding RNA is filed under the name uncultured Micrococcales bacterium. RNAcentral describes it as "contains 16S-23S intergenic spacer region". The record is from RNAcentral. Lineage: Bacteria; Bacillati; Actinomycetota; Actinomycetes; Micrococcales.